ACGUGUUGGGACCCUCUCCAACAAGCUGGCCCCGUCGUCCCCUUCUUCCUCACCUCCGCAAGCCGAAGCGCGAUCAACUGCGCGCAGCCAUCCGCGUCGUCGCCAAUGCGUGAUCCACAACUGUCGCACCCCUCUGUGAGCAGUCAUUCCUCGCUGCCCCUUUAAUUUGCAUCUGCGUAGCCGUAGCGCUGCCAUGUCGAGUGUCAUCGUGGUGUCCAGUUCUGUCGCCGUGCAGAGCAGCAGCAGAUGCAGUAGCAGUGCUGCAGCAGUAGCAGGAGCAGCCGUAGAUCCCCUGUGUAGUGGCCAUGCAGAGCAGGUUGCAGUGCAGUGCAGUGCCUCGCCGUGGCCUCGUAGCCGUCGGCGAGCAUCUUUGUUGUAGAGAGGCACAUGGGACGUGGUGAUGUUAACACCACCGUGUUCCCCCUCUGACGAAAUCCCGCUCCAUAUCCCGACUGAUUGACCCACCACUCGAUGUCCAAGCGGUCGUGUGCUCGAGUCCCCCCACGAGGUGAUUUUCCAGUGUGGUGUGAGCAGGGAGGUGGUAGGUUCGAUCCCCCUCUCCCCACUUUUAGUUUUUCUCUGUUUUAUUCCCCUGCACUGUAGCUAGUGGCUGACAGUGGCCCACAUGGCCCACAUUACAUGCACUAGGGGGGUUGGUGCCUAUGCCAGUGGGACCCCUAUCAUAUUUAAUCUUUUGUAGUUAUUUUUAUUUGUGUGUGGAAUAUUUCUGAUUUGGAAUAUUUCUUGAUUUGGAAUAUGCCAAAUCUGGCAUACCCCAUUUUAGUCUCUGAUUUGACAUAUAAGUUAAAUAGGAUUUAGAGUGGAUUUUCGAAGUGCAGGGGAUAUAUGAUUUUGGGGGUAGAAAACCCAAGGAAUCCAAUGGUGGCAUUGGAUUUCACUUUUGAGCAAGUUUGUAAAAAUGUCAUUUUUUGAUGAGGUGGCAUUUUGUCAUUUUUGUAGUAUUAUUUCUGUGCAUGCUAUGAAGUUUGUGUCUACAUGAAAAUGAUUGCACUUUGUGGGUAAUAGACCAUGGUAUUUUUGUUUGGCAUGAUAAUCUUGUGGAUAAGUGGAUCCCUUUCUGUUUUCAAGUGAAGAAAAUAAUGUUGUUUGCAAAGCUAGAAAUAUUCGAAGUGUUGGAACUGUUAUUUUCUUUCCCUCUUGUGAGCAUGGUCCUCAUGGAUGUGUAGAUCUUUGGCGGUUGCACCAAUGGCAUGAAUUGUAGUGGUCGAAACCCUCUAAAAAUUGGUGCCACAAGUUUGUUCAUAGGAAUUUUCUACAUAGUUUAUUUCCUUGUCAAAGUUACUAUUCUGUUGAAAAUGGCAGCAAGUAAAAAUCUGUGAUUUUCACUAAGUCUGAUAUUCUACUAUUAUUAUCAUGCCUUGUUGAUUUGAUGGCAGCUAGCAUUCUGUGGGGUUUUAGCCCAAGCUAUAAACUAGUGAAUGGUUGAAUUUGUGUUCCUAUAUAUCUCUGCUAAAUUUCAUGCCAUGAAGUUCGCUAUAGGGUAUUAUUUUGUUGCUGUUAAAAUGCUUGAGGUUAUAAUCUCUCAGUGAAAAUCUGUGAUUUUCACCAAGUCAUAAUCUGCUAUAAUUUUUGCUACGUUUAGAGCUUGGUAGCCAUUGAUUCUUUUACCUAGUGAAUUAGCUAUUUGUUGAGUGUUGUAAUAAUGUUUAAUAGCUUUGAUUCCAUGUCUUGGUUGAAGCCAUUGGUUGGGUGUAGAUAAUUUAUUUCUUUUGAGCAAAGUGCUAAGAUACUGUUUGUGGACAGAUUGUGUGCUAUUUUGUUUUGGCCUUUGUGUGAGUUGUGCUUGAUGGAUUUGUACGUUAUUUAGCUCUAUUCCACCUGGAAUUUUAUGUUUAAUCUAGUGGCAACCUUGGAAUGCCAAGCGCAUGCCCAUAGCUACCGGUAUAUUGCUGUUUUGUCUCCAUAGCCUCUCGUAUCUUGUUUUGUGGUUUCCGGAGCUACGUAACUCGGUUCGCGACGUUCUUUAUAUGUUUUUGCACCGUCUUAUCAUGAUGCAUCCAUUUCUGACAUGUCCAUGCAUGUCAAAAUAAGUUAACUUGAGGUUCUGUCUAGAAUGUUAAAAAACUCUAAUGAUGCAUCAAAGAUGACUAGUAUAGCUAUGCCAUCCUUUCUUUCAUCACACCUGUUGGGGAUGUUAUCCCGUUAUAUGACCCGCCCUAGGGAGCCGGGUUAGGAUAAUGGCAGCUCAGUAUCCAUGUUCAAGAUGGGACGUGACCUGUGAAGCAGAAGACGUAAGACGUACGCUGUGAGAUUCGGUUGGCCCAAGACCCGAAGAAGGCGACUUACGACCCAUAUGGGAAAAGAGUCGCGUGAAGUUUCUUGCGUAAGGGACAAGGCGAGUUAGAGAUAUACCGGAUCACGAAUUGUAAUGAGAUCCAGACUCUUGUAAACCUAGAGCCUCGGCCUGUAUAUAAAGGCGAGUCUCUAGGGUUGAUAGGGCUAAGUUAACAUCAAUCGAGAGCUAGGUCACGCGAAUCCGCACCCUUGUAAUCGAUUUCCACAACAAUAUACACACAUCAAGACGUAGACUUUUACCUCAAUCUAAGGGGCCGAACCUAGAUAAACUCGUCUCCCAUUUUCCCGAUCAACCCCCUUGAGUCGCCACAUGGUUGCGAUGGCUUCACCACUAUGUCGUUUCAUGAGGACAUCUGUCGUGACAAAACCACGACAGUUGGCGCCCACUGUGGGGCUUGCGCACGGUGGAGUUGAGUUCUCGAAGGGAGCCCUUCCAGGGUUCGGGAGCUAUGCCGUUGGCCUCAUGACUAAGAGUCGUCGCGGAAAGUACUACAACGACAAUUCGAGCAGGGGUCCCGAGGCCGAUUCAAUCGAAUCAAGAUAUCGGGCCCCCUUCGGUAAGAUCCACGUCUUCAUCGGCAAGAUCGGAACGCCGGUUCCCGAGCCGGACAUCUACACCGACAUCAUCGAGCCGGCUCAGCUUGCCCAACCCGCCACGUAGCAGAUUCGACAACGUCGCGUCUUCAUCGGUUUCAUGCAAGGGGCCAGCCUCCCGGAUGAGCCGAAAGCUGGUGGAGAUACCCCCGUCAAUUCUGAUGGCGAGUCACCGAUCGGAGAUACUGACUCAAUCUAUCCUCUCUAUGAGGGAAGGCUUGGCGGUUUUCUUGAGGCGGCAAUCUCUGAAGGGCCGCAUGAACCACCCCGCCAAGUCUCCUUCUAUAUGGCAGGAGCCACGGCGGCUCAGGACCAGCGGAACGCGGCAACCGCCAAUGGGGCCAGCGGAUCACGGAAGACCCCGGCUCAAGCCAUGUGAGAUGUGAUGGCCGAGAUGUCAAAACUAAUGGCAGUAGCCGUGACGGCUGAUAACCAAGCGAAAGUUAACGCUGAAUUGACUAAACUUCGUGAAGAGGUGGCUCAGAUACAACGCCAGAUUGAUGCGGAGAAGACGCGGAUGGGGGAUCAGGAAGUUCAGACCGACGAAGAGGCGGAGCGUUUGAAAUUGAAGGCAAGGCCACUCGAACGCCAAUGAGUCGCGUCGGACGCUGUUUAUCAGAGAAGGUAUCAGAGUGGCGUCCCACCCAAGCUUUAUCCUACUCACCUGUUCAACAGCCCACAAACGCCGAUGCGGAUCAUAACCCACCACAUGAGAGCAAUCCAUAGGGUGAAAUUGUCCAGCAGCCAAUGCAUCCCCCGUUGAACCCGCAGGCGGCUCAGCACUUCCAAACACCUCAGGGUCACUUCUCUAACCCGAUGGAUAAUGUACUAGCUGCGACCCUCCACUUGGAAUCUCUUCCUAUUCGUGGGAAUACCGCGCUGGAGGUGGAGGCAAGGAUCUCCAUAGAGAUGUCAAAAACUACGGUGGUCCAGCUGGCGUAGUUUUCAUACAGUCGUGAUUAUCUGCACUCCACGCCGCAGGCAAGCCACAUGAAAAAUCGCCCAGAUUACCCUCCGGCGGUUUCCAGCGACAUUCAUCGACACCAACCUCAGAUCAAUCCAUCAGAGUCGCCAGCAUCAAAUGCUCACGCGCUUGUCAAUGGCGCACGAGCCGCCCGGCAGGGCGAGGCGAAGGCAGUGGCGGCCCUAGCGGGUCAGAGAGUUCCGCCUUAUGCCUAGUCGGCUCUUGGAUAUGGUGGGCAAGGAGAAAGGAAUGUAGGGGUCCCCUGCCUAUCUUUUUCUCUACGCAAGGAGCGCAUGUCCACAGACUUCAAAGGCCCCCGUAAGGUGCCAAACUAUACUCCUGAUAUUGAGCUAGGGGCAUGGGUUGAGAGUUAUGAACUGGCUAUGGAUAUGCAUGAUGCUAGUGACGCAGUCUGCACCAAGUACUUCACCAUGAUGUUGGAAGGGUUGGCUCGCACGUGGUUGAAGAAUUUACCGCCCAACUCCAUCAAUAGUUGGGUGAAACUCAAGGAGCGUUUCAUCAGAAACUUUCGAGGAACCUGCAAGCGCCUGAUGACUGUUGUAGAUCUCCAACACUGUGUUCAGCGGGCUGAUGAAUCUUCUCACCAUUGGACCAGGCGGGUUGCAGAAAUCAACCACUCCUUGGAUGACAUUACGGCGGCUCAGGCCAUUUUCAGCCCCUGGUGUUGAAGCUUGGCCGCCUCAAGUGGAAGGUGCAAGAUAUGGGCGAGUUGAUGGACACCCUCACCAGGUAUGCUGAGUCGGACGGCACGAAGGACGACGUACGGUUCUGAUGACGAGAAUGUCAGUGAAUCUAAAAGGGGUGAUUGAGCUAAGGGUCACUUCCAAAAUUUUGGGCGCAAUAACAACCAGGGAGGUCAAGGAAAAAGAAGGCAGCAGGAUGCCGUGUAUGACUUUGUUGCCGACACCAAUGCCGGUCUGGAGUCAAUGAUGGAACAUGCAUCAGGGUGGCUUUCAGGACCGGGCCUUUAGUGGGAGGAAGCCGCGCAAUUAUUAGGAGCUUCUCAAGGGACCUUGCCCUAAACAUAGUAUCCCAGGUGCCCCAUCUACUCACUCUUGGAAAAAGGUUUUUCUGAUGCAGGAGUUUCGUCUUCAGGCGUCUCGAGAUCACCAAGGAGGCAAUGAGGGAGCCUAGCAGGGUCAGUUUGGCCCGGGCGGGUCACGAGGUGCUUCGUUCAGUGACUUUCCUAACCCAGGGCCUCAGGGGCGAGGCGGCUCACAUCAUAAUGGUGGACAAUUAUCGGGCCAAGGUGGUCAGAGUACAAUGACCAGGGCGAGUUUGAGCAGCCGAACAACCAGGGCGGUUUCCAGAGUAACCCUAAGUAGUUGAAUGGUGGGCAAUACCAUGUUUUCACCAUGGAUACCUGCAAAAGAGAUAAGAAGGUAAAGCAGAGGGCCAUCAAUAUGGCUGAGUCGGCGGUUCCGAGAUACUUAAAUUGGUCUGAACAGCCUGUCACGUGGAGUAGGGUUCAUCACCCGCCUCAAAUUGAUAACCCUGGCGACUUUGCAUUAGUGGUGGCGCCUCAGGUUGGUGGAUACACGUUCUCUAAGGUCCUCAUGGAUGAGGGUAGCGUAUCAACAUAUUAUACUAUGACAUCUUUCGGCGGAUGAACUUUGAUGAGAAAGACUUAAUGCCCUCUACCACGGUUUUCCACGGCAUUGUUCCGGUGGUUGUUGAACGCAAGGAAGAAGGCAAAGAAUAUCAUGUUCAGUGACCGGUGUAUUUCGUUAGUGAGGUAUUGACCAUGUCCAAGAACCGGUAUCCACAUUGGCAGAAGUUGGUCUUUGGGAUCUUUAUGGCGAGUCGUAAGUUGAAGCACUACUUCUUGGAGCACCCAAUCACUGUGGUCAGUUCUGCACCGAUCGGAGAUAUGAUACAGAACCGCGAAGCCACUGGGCCGAUUGCCAAAUGGGGAGUAGAGCUUCGUCCUCAUCAUGUGAAGUAUAUGCCUCGCACAACCAUCAAGUCUCAUGCUCUGGUAGACUUCAUCAACGAUUGGACCGAGUUGCAGAUUCCGGAAGAUAGGCCUGAUAACACAUAUUGGACUAUCCAUUUUGAUGGCUCUAGUCAGUUGGAAGGCUUAGGAGCUGGAGUGGUGUUAUCAUCCCCAAGAGGAGACAAGUUUUGCUAUGUUCUCCGGCUCAUGUUUCCUUGCACAAACAAUGCAGCUGAGUAUGAAGCUUUGCUUCAUGGGCUCGGGAUAUAUAAGGAGAUGAACCUGAGUCAAGUCGGGUGCUUGGGCGACUCAGAUUUAGUGGCCUAGUAAGUGUCAGGAACUUGGGACUCUAAGGAUCCAUUGAUGGUGGCUUAUAGGCGUGUAGUAACCGAGGUGGCGGGUUAUUUCCAUGGCUAUCAGGUUGAUCAUAUCGAUCGUCGACAAAACGAGGCGGCUGAUGCUCUCUCCCGGCUUGGAUCACAAGGUAAGCCCGUUCCUCCCAAUGUAUUGUUGGAUGUCUUACAUAGUCCUUUUGUGAAGUUGCUUUCUGAAGAAGACAUGGCGGUUCCUGACCCGGAGUCAUAGUUGGUGGUGGCUCUCCGAGCAAUUCCUGACUGGAUGAUACCCUACAUGGCUUAUUUGGCUCGAGGCGAGUUGCCAACUAAUGAAGUUUUUGCUAGGAAAAUCGUGCGGCGAUGCAAGUCCAUGGUUAUACACACAUGCGAGUUGUACAAAUGAAGUACUUUUGGGGUUUUCCAGCAUUGUGUUUUGCCGGAAGAAGGGUGAGAUAUUCUCAACGAGAUACAUGCGAGCGAUUGUGGACACCACGUCGGGUCCCGAUCUUUGGUGUCAAAGGCUUUUUGCCAUGGUUUCUACUGGUUGACGGUUCAUGCCGAUGCAGAGGACAUAGUGCGUUGGUGUGAUGGAUGUCAGAAAUUUGGACGUCAGGCACAUGUGCCGACUCUGGAAUUGUGCAUGAUCCGCAUUACAUGGCCUUUCGCAGUUUGGGGGCUUGACAUGGUCGUCCCGUUUAUAAAGUCUUAUGACAAAAAGACCCAUCUGUUGGUGGCAGUUGAUAAAUUUACCAAGUGGGUUGAGGCAGAGCCGGUCAGCAAUUGUGAAGCAGAGAUGGCGGUUAAAUUCCUCAGGAAGUUGAUCUUCCGUUUUGGUUAUCCCCAUAGCAUCAUUACUGAUAAUGGUACUAAUUUGUCUAAGGGUGCAAUUAACGAGUUCUGUCAACGAGAGCACAUCCGUCUUGAUGUAUCCGUAGUAGCUCAUCCACAGUCUAAUGGUCAAGCUGAGCGGGCUAACCAGGAAAUCUUGCAAGGGAUUAAGCCUCGGCUCAUGGUUCCUCUACAGCGCACUCCGGGUUGUUGGGUCGAAGAACUUCCUUCUGUACUUUGGAGUAUCAGGACAACACCAAACAUAUCUACUGGUUACACUCCUUUUGUCCUUGUCUAUGAGGCAGAGGCGGUUCUCCCAAGUGAUAUAAGGCAUGAUUCUCCCAGAGUCGCCGCAUACAUCGAAACUCAUAAUGAGGAAGCAUGCCAGGAUUCUUUGGAUGCUCUCGAGGAGGAGCCUGAUUUGGCCACAACACGAUCGGCAAUCUACCAACAAGACCUGUGUUGUUCCCACAGUCGAGCGUCAAAAGUCAGGUCUUCCAAGAGGGCGACUUGGUGCUUCGAUUGAUUCAAGAUCAUACGGGUAUGCACAAGCUUUCACCUCCAUGGGAGGAACCAUUCGUCGUUAGCAGAAACCUCUACAACGGGGCAUAUUACUUGAUUGAUCUACGCCCUAACAAGACAACCACGGAGGAAGAGACAACCCGCCCGUGGAACAUUGCUCAUCUCUGGCCCUAUUAUACUUAGAGCCAUUGGCUCCUUAUCCAUGUACGUACUUAGAUAAUUGUGUACUCUUUACAUUACAUCAAUAAAGUCGGCGCCCAUGAAAUUCGGGGUCUUUGCCGUUUCAGCCUGUAUUUGAGCAUGAGUCUUUAUUGAUUAAAAUAAGCCGCCCAAGAGGAUGAGUCGUUGCCGGGGAGGCCAUCCAAACAUGGACGCUACUAGUAUCAAAGAGAGUGAGUCGCCCUAAUGUGAUCACUCCAACAUGGAUAUUAGUAAAGCCAAAGAGGAUCAAGUGCCAUGAUGCAUGGUUCAAACAUAGGCGCCUAUGUAUGAUCAUGAAUGAUAAAAACCGUCUUACUUGUGGCUACUAGUCCCCAAGUCUUUAGUAGUAGUAGUAUUGUCUUCUGCUAUCCUAUGCCCGUUUUUCCUUGAUCAUAGGUCAUUUGGGGGCUUAUGACUCAUUGAGUCCCGCCUUAGUACCCUCUUGGGUAGAGAAAAAUUAACGCAUUACAAUGGUUAUACUGGACUGUAUGGUUGGCGACCCGCCCAUAAGACCUGUGUACUCUUGGCAAGUCAAUCCAAUAUUGGACCGUGAACUUCCAAAGUUAAAACAUUGAGCUACUUGCGAGAGCCAGCAUAUGGAAAAUAGACAAACCAUGGGUUCACUGAACCUGCUUCCCUGAAACUUGACUUGAGCCUGAUCAGCCAGUCUAAACACAUAAAGGUUUUUGUAAAAACCUCUUAGGGUAUGACUAGAGCCUUGCAACACUACUGGAAUCUGCUGUUUUGCCGACAGCCAAAGCUGACGGCAACGACAUGUUUAACGGACGGCAAAGGCUUUGUCGUCAGUGUGCGGUCGGCAAAGAAGCCGGCCACGAUUUUAUUGGCAAUCACCUUCUUUGCCGUCAGCUGAAAAUCGAGCGAUGGCAAAGCCUUUGCCAUCAGCUUUGUGGCACGGGCCGACGGCACAGAGCAAUGGCGGCAACAACACAAGCCGAGCCCCGUUAGAGGGUUAACGGCAGGCUUUGCCGUUAGCUUGACGCUGGCGGACGGCAAAGUGUACUUCUGGUGGGCCAUACGUGUUAGGGAUGCUAUCAGCACUGACAUGUGGGUCCCCUCUUUGCCCACAGCCGGAGCACAGCUGACGUCAAAGCCGAAAACCUGGGUCCCCUCUUUGCCCACAGCCGAAGCACAACUGACGGCAAAGCCAAAAACCUAGGAAAAUUUGGUGUUCUCAAAGUUGCCAGGUUACACAGGUUGUCGCCACGUGUCCUUCUUUGCCGUCAGCCCACCAACGGCAUAGGCUUUGCCGUCAGUAAGCUGUAGGCAAAGACCCUCUCUGCUUUUUUUUAUAUUUGUUUUCUGUUAAUUCCCUACAUUUGGAAAACAUAGAUACAAACAACAAUAUAUAUAUUUUCCCAGGCCCUAAACAGCACCACAAGUCCAUCACAAAGUGCAAACAACACCACAAGUGCAUCACAAAGUGCAAACAACAACAAUAUAUGUAAUUAAAGUGCAAACAAGAUCACAAAGUAUUACAAAGCAUCACAAGUGCAUCCGCAAAUACAAGUGCAUUACGAAGUUCGUAUAAGACUACAUGAGUACAAUCCCUGGAGCAUCCAUCCAUAUGCCAUGCUACUUUAUCAAAAUCUGCAUAAUGAGAAAGAAGUUAGAAGAAGAAUACAAUAAGAAAGAAGUUAUCUAAAUUAAGCUAAGCAAUUAGAAGAAGAAGUGGAAGAAGAAGAAGAAGAACAAGAAGAAGAACAAGAAGAAGAAAAAGAAGAAGAAGAUGGAGAAAAAGAAAGAAGAGAAAAAGGAAGAAUAAGAAGAUUUUUCUUCUUAUUCUAUCUUUUUCUCCUCUUUCUUCUUCUCUUAUUUCUUCAUCUCUUCUUUGUUCUUCUCUUCUGGUUUAUUUUUAAACUUUCUAAACUAAUUAUGUCAUUUUUGAGCUCUAAUAUCAACUAAUUAUGCUAUUUUUUUUGUUAUCAAGUAAUUAUGUCAUUUUUGAAGUAAGUAAGCUAAUUAUGUAAUUUUUUAGGUAAGUAAGCUAAUUAUCAUCUAGAAUUUACUAAGUUAACUAAAGCAUGGCUAAUAUCAACUAGAAUUUACUAAGCUAACUAAAGCAUGGCAUAAUCUAAGUUGAUCUAAACAACAAGAAGAAUAAGAAGGAGAGGAAUAACUUACCGAAUGCCAAGUCACGGAGGAGAAGCACCAUCUCGGUUGGUCGCUAGGUUGCUAGGGCUGUCACCACGAAAAGUAAAGGGAUCGUGGGAUUCAACUUUGGAAUGAUGCUGCAACAAGGCAAGAGUUAAAAUAUGUGGUUAGCACGGCGACACACAAUGGUAUAAGACCAUGCAAGGUUGGUCAUUGAAAGGGAACUCACCGUUCCCACCGGAGAAGGCAUCGGCGGAGGGGGUGGCAAACCUUGCUUCUCACACAUAGCCUGCAAAUUAGUUUUUGAGGAGUCAAAGAAAUAGCCUUGUUGCUUCUCACACAACUGACUUACCGCAACGAAGUCGUGCAUCGCCUUCGCUUGGGCAUUAUUGCGUGCGCCCUCUCCUCCUCAAGCAACCUCUGCGUAUUUCGGUCCCUCUCCUCCAACAAGAGCCUGGUGGCCUCCCUCUCCUUCUCAAGUGUGGCUUGCAACCACUCCUCAAAAGGAAUUUUCAUCAUCUAUCCAGGAUAAAUAGACGAAAGAAAUAAUGAAGAAAACUAACCUCGAUGGCAAGAUCAACUGGCCUCGCGCGUUGCCGUAUUACAGGAGCGGAGCUCGUUUGCCUCGCCUUGAUCUGAGAUAGAGUCUCAGUGAUAGGGACGAAGCCAUCACACAUGGCGAGCGUGCCAUGACUCUUACCGCCACCAGAGAUCAUCAAUGCCUCCGGAUCGAUAGGAUUCUGGCUCGGGUCAAAGUCAGGCCCGCGCAGGUGUUUGACCACCUCAGAAUAAGAUGUCAUUUUGCUGUAGGCGGACAUGCUUGUGUACGCCGACGACCUGUCCCCCUCAGAAUAUGCCUUCGCCGUCUUGUACGAGCCCUUAUUGGCCAUGCUAAACGCGACGUAUCCCUGAGGCUCGGGCUGGUUAUUGUGUUUGGCCUACAAGAAAAGACAAAGAAUUAGUACAACAAAAAUCAUGAAUGAAUGAAUUAUUGAUGAAACAAAACAAGGCACUCAUACCCAGUUUAUGGCGUAUUGCUUGAUGUUGGCAUUGCCUUGGUGGUGUGGCAAACCAACCAAUUGGGCACACUGGUCCUUGGCCACAGUGUGGGUGCUUGACACGUCUCAAACGUAUCUAUAAUUUCUGAUGGUUUCAUGCUCUUAUCUUGUCAACUUUGGAUGUUUUAUGUACCUUUUAUAUCUUUUUUGGGACUAACUUAUUAAUUCAGUGCCAAGUGCCAGUUCCUGUUUUUUCUGUGUUUUUGACUCUUUUCAGAUCUGAUUUUGGAACGGAGUCCAAACGGAAUAAAAUCCCUGAAAUAAUUUUUUCCAGAAAGGAAGAAGAUCACGGGACUUGAGGGCCAAGGCAGGAGAGCCACAGGGGGCCCACAAGCCCUGUAGCCACCACCAGGGGGGUGGCGGCUACCAGGCUUGUGGCCUCCCUGGCGCCCCCCUGACCUAGCUCCUUCGCCUAUAUAUUCCCUAAAAUACAGAAAAAAUAGGGGAAGCCACGAAAACACUUUUCCGCCGCCGCAAGCUUCCGUUUCCACAAGAUCUCAUCUGGAGACCCUUCUCGGUGCCCUGCUGGAGGGGACUUUGGAGUUGGAGGGCUUCUACAUCAACAUCAUCGGCCCUCCAAUGACUCAUGAGUAGUUCACUUCAGACCUACGGGUCCGUAGUUAGUAGCUAGAUGGCUUCUUCUCUCUCUUGGAUCUUCAAUACAAAGUUCUUCCUGAUCUUCAUGGAGAUCUAUCCGAUGUAAUCCUCUUUGGCGGUGUGUUUGUCGAGAACCGAUGAAUUGUGGAUUCGUGAUCAGAUUAUCUAUGAUAUAUAUUUGAGUCUUUGUUGAUUUCUUAUAUGCAUGAUUUGAUAUCCC
Molecule: long non-coding RNA, 11704 nt
Filed under: Hordeum vulgare
Lineage: Eukaryota; Viridiplantae; Streptophyta; Magnoliopsida; Poales; Poaceae
Description: long non-coding RNA (HVUL_LNC016066)
Source: RNAcentral